Molecule: ribosomal RNA, 483 nt
Filed under: uncultured bacterium
Lineage: Bacteria
Description: partial 16S ribosomal RNA
Rfam family: Bacterial small subunit ribosomal RNA
Source: RNAcentral
AUUGAACGCUGGCGGCAGGCCUAACACAUGCAAGUCGAGCGGAUGAAGGGAGCUUGCUCCUGGAUUCAGCGGCGGACGGGUGAGUAAUGCCUAGGAAUCUGCCUGGUAGUGGGGGAUAACGUGCGGAAACGGGCGCUAAUACCGCAUACGUCCUGAGGGAGAAAGUGGGGGAUCUUCGGACCUCACGCUAUCAGAUGAGCCUAGGUCGGAUUAGCUAGUUGGUGGGGUAAAGGCCUACCAAGGCGACGAUCCGUAACUGGUCUGAGAGGAUGAUCAGUCACACUGGAACUAAGACACGGUCCAGACUCCUACGGGAGGCAGCGGUGGGGAAAAUUGGACAAUGGGCGAAAGCCUGUUCCGGCCAUGCGGCGUGUGUGAAGAAGGUCUUCGGAUUGUAAAGCCCUUUAAGUUGGGAGAAAGGGCAGUAAGUUAAUACCUUGCUGUUUUGACGUUACCAACAGAAUAAGCACCGGCAAACUUCGU